Molecule: ribosomal RNA, 444 nt
Filed under: Campylobacter sp. 2018MI01
Lineage: Bacteria; Pseudomonadati; Campylobacterota; Epsilonproteobacteria; Campylobacterales; Campylobacteraceae
Description: partial 23S ribosomal RNA
Rfam family: Bacterial large subunit ribosomal RNA
Source: RNAcentral
GCGAAAGACAGGUGAGAAUCCUGUCCACCGAAUGACUAAGGUUUCCUGGGGAAGGCUCGUCCUCCCAGGGUUAGUCGGGACCUAAGCUGAGGCCGAGAGGCGUAGGCGAUGGACAACGGGUUGAUAUUCCCGUACCGGUCUGAUUUGUUUGAGCAACGGAGGGACGCAGGAGGCUAACGAUGCGCACUAUCGGAUGUGCGUCCAAACAGCAAGUCUGUCGGCGAGUCAAAUGCUUGCCGGCUCAAGGGCAAGCUGUGACGGGUAUGAACGAUUUAUCGUUCUAAGUGAGCGACGUCACACUGCCAAGAAAAGCUUCUAGUUAGAAUCAGACCGCCCGUACCGCAAACCGACACAGGUAGUCGGGUCGAGAAGACCAAGGUGAGCGAGAGAACUCUCGUUAAGGAACUCGGCAAAAUGACCCCGUAACUUCGGGAGAAGGGGUGC